Molecule: long non-coding RNA, 226 nt
Organism: Brassica napus (rape)
Lineage: Eukaryota; Viridiplantae; Streptophyta; Magnoliopsida; Brassicales; Brassicaceae
Exons: 3
Source: RefSeq, a predicted model, not a curated record
UGCUCGUUGCCUACUCCACCAAUGCCUCAUGAUGAGAAUUGGACUCCUUUUCAAUAUGUCAUGGCAACGCCACUGCUUGUUGCUUUUGAGAUCCUUCUCUUUCUACAUCUUGAAGAUAAAUAUGAUGACUUAAAGUUUGUCUUCUUACCCUUGCUUGCAUUCGAGGUAGCUAUCUUGGUAUAUAACGUCAGGUAAAUCAUCAAAGUUUUUAGGUUUUGGAUUGUUC